UUCUCAUUAGCUAAAGAGAAGAGCGGUAUACUUCGAAUAUACAGAUUUUAGUUCGAGUCUAAAAUGAGAAA
RNAcentral lists this transfer RNA (71 nucleotides) under Ophiognomonia clavigignenti-juglandacearum. Its description in RNAcentral is "tRNA-Arg". It matches the Rfam family "tRNA". From Rfam's summary of the family: Transfer RNA (tRNA) molecules are approximately 80 nucleotides in length. Their secondary structure includes four short double-helical elements and three loops (D, anti-codon, and T loops). The record is from RNAcentral. Lineage: Eukaryota; Fungi; Ascomycota; Sordariomycetes; Diaporthales; Gnomoniaceae.